UGGGCUAUAGCCAAGCGGUAAGGCAACGGUUUUUUGGUACCGUCAUGCGCUGGUUCGAAUCCAGCUAGCCCAGCCA
This 76-nucleotide transfer RNA is filed under the name Radiobacillus deserti. RNAcentral's name for it is "Bacillaceae bacterium TKL69 tRNA-Lys". It matches the Rfam family "tRNA". From Rfam's summary of the family: Transfer RNA (tRNA) molecules are approximately 80 nucleotides in length. Their secondary structure includes four short double-helical elements and three loops (D, anti-codon, and T loops). Further hydrogen bonds mediate the characteristic L-shaped molecular structure. tRNAs have two regions of fundamental functional importance: the anti-codon, which is responsible for specific mRNA codon recognition, and the 3' end, to which the tRNAs corresponding amino acid is attached (by aminoacyl-tRNA synthetases). tRNAs cope with the degeneracy of the genetic code in two manners: having more than one tRNA (with a specific anti-codon) for a particular amino acid; and 'wobble' base-pairing, i.e. permitting non-standard base-pairing at the 3rd anti-codon position. Lineage: Bacteria; Bacillati; Bacillota; Bacilli; Caryophanales; Bacillaceae. The record is from RNAcentral.